Molecule: ribosomal RNA, 468 nt
Filed under: uncultured bacterium
Lineage: Bacteria
Description: partial 16S ribosomal RNA
Rfam family: Bacterial small subunit ribosomal RNA
Source: RNAcentral
GGCGAACGCUGGCGGCGUGCUUAACACAUGCAAGUCGAACGGAAAGGCCCUGCUUUUGUGGGGUGCUCGAGUGGCGAACGGGUGAGUAACACGUGAGUAACCUGCCCUUGACUUUGGGAUAACUUCAGGAAACUGGGGCUAAAACCGGAUAGGAGCUCCUGCUGCAUGGUGGGGGUUGGAAAGUUUCGGCGGUUGGGGAUGGACUCGCGGCUUAUCAGCUUGUUGGUGGGGUAGUGGCUUACCAAGGCUUUGACGGGUAGCCGGCCUGAGAGGGUGACCGGCCACAUUGGGACUGAGAUACGGCCCAGACUCCUACGGGAGGCAGCAGUGGGGAAUAUUGCACAAUGGGCGGAAGCCUGAUGCAGCAACGCCGCGUGCGGGAUGACGGCCUUCGGGUUGUAAACCGCUUUCGCCUGUGACGAAGCGUGAGUGACGGUAAUGGGUAAAGAAGCACCGGCUAACUACGUG